Molecule: ribosomal RNA, 441 nt
Filed under: uncultured bacterium
Lineage: Bacteria
Description: partial 16S ribosomal RNA
Rfam family: Bacterial small subunit ribosomal RNA
Source: RNAcentral
CCUACGGGAGACAGCAGUGGGGAAUAUUGCACAAUGGGGGAAACCCUGAUGCAGCGACGCCGCGUGAGUGAAGAAGUAUUUCGGUAUGUAAAGCUCUAUCAGCAGGGAAGAAGAAAGACGGUACCUGACUAAGAAGCCCCGGCUAACUACGUGCCAGCAGCCGCGGUAAUACGUAGGGGGCAAGCGUUAUCCGGAUUUACUGGGGGUAAAGGGAGCGUAGACGGCUGUGCAAGUCUGAAGUGAAAGCCCAGGGCUCAACCCGGGGACUGCAUUGGAAACUGUGGAGCUGGAGUGCUGGAGAGGUAAGUGGAAUUCCUAGUGUAGCGGUGAAAUGCGUAGAUAUUAGGAGGAACACCAGUGGCGAAGGCGGCUUACUGGACAGUAACUGACGUUGAGGCUCGAAAGCGUGGGGAGCAAACAGGAUUAGAUACCCUUGUAGUC